Molecule: long non-coding RNA, 3415 nt
Filed under: Sus scrofa (pig)
Lineage: Eukaryota; Metazoa; Chordata; Mammalia; Artiodactyla; Suidae
Description: lncRNA (ENSSSCG00000053663.1)
Source: RNAcentral
CAGGAGAAGACAGCUGAUUAAGGAAUUUAAGCAGUAGCAUUGGCUACAGAAUUUCUACUGUUGUUGAUGCACAUCUGGAAUAAGCAGUACUGACCCCCAUUUUAACACACUUUAAAUAUUUAGUAUUGUUUUAUAAGACCUUCACUUAUCAUUAAAUCAUCAAAUUGCUGCCUGUUUCGAUUGGCAGCCAGCGUGGAAAAUGAUCACAAGAAUAUUUCCUACUAAAAGACGCUAAAACCCAUUGCACUACAGGCAUGCAGGUGACCUAAAAUCGCCCCACUCUGUUUAGCUCAGCAGCUGCCAAUAUUAUGGCAUCAACCACUGGCCACACUUGGCUUACAGUUCCAUUUCAACCCUUAUUAAUGAAACCUGCUUCAUUACAUUAAAAGACACAAUGUUGAUACAUGGACCAGACUGGUAAUUGAUAAUUUAAAUACAAAAAUGGCAUAAAGCUUCUGAAACUUCUCUGGCAAACUUAAGAUCUGCAGAUCUGCAGAUCAUCACUUUUGACCUGAGUUUGCAGAAGUAACUUUUAAGGGUGCAGCAGACCAUGUUUGUUAAAGAAAUCUUUAAGCACAGAAAUAUGGUUCCCUGCAAAUACUCCUGACAUCAUCUGCACCCAGAAGAUGUGAUAAAAGUUUAAUGAUAUCAAAUGACUCAGGACCACAGGUGGGCAAACUGCUGCCCACAGAUGAAAUCCAGUCUGCAGUUGUAUGGCCUAUAAGGUAAGAAAGAUUUUUACAUUUUAAAGGCAUUGUUUUGGCAUACAAAAAGGAAGAAGACGAAUAUGUAACAUGUGUAAUGGCCUACAAGACCUCAGGUGUUCUCUCUGGUUUUGGGGAUUGUUUCCCACUCUCUAGACCUUUAGCAAGUGUGGAAGGAUGGUAGUUCUUCCCACUGCACAUCUCUGCAGGGUGAGUCCAGUGUGAAUUUGUCAGAAUGAAAAUACUUUAUACAUUUAAGACAUUGCUCACUUCUUUGUUGAAUGUCGUCAUAGGAUUCAUGUUUAAACAGUUUGGCUGUAAAUUAUUUCUUCCUAUCAGUCUUACUACUACUGCAAAGUGCUUAAACCUUUGGGGACAAUUACAUGAUUUUGUUUUCAUUAUAAAGGGAAUUCCAUUCCCUACUGUAAAGUCCAAAAAUGCUAGUGGCUUCAUUCAGCUUUUGAGUUGUCUUCCAGAAGCUGCGAUCAUUUGACCGUUUUCUUUUCUCAUGCCAUAUAAAGUGUGUCAUGGGGGAAUUGUCAAGGAACUAAUAAGCUAUCGUGGUCACGUGCACUUCUUACUUUCUAAAAAGAGACGUUUGAAAUCCUUCCCACAAUUAGACCUUGUUUCUUUUGACUCCUUUAGAGAUAAAUUGCUUAAUACCAAUUAAUAAGUGAAUCAUUUUAAGAAGUAGAUACCAUCAAUUUCUGUCUAAUGUACUGACAAGGUAUUGUUUACUAUGAAGCAUUUCCAUGCUUUUGAUACUUCUGAGUUAUUUAUCAUUGUGACUCUUAGAUAAACUUUUCAAGCUAAUGUAGGGUUUCCCGGUUUCAUUUUAGUAUAGAAAUUUACUAGCAAUUACUUUACUAAACAUAGGUUGUCCUGAAUCUAUACAAGGAACUAACAAUUUUCAUAGAUCUCAGAACUUGCUUAUUCACUUUUUCUGUUUGACUUGCCAAUGCCACAGUUAUUUUAAUAGAAGACUAGAAUUUGAAUUUUUGUCUGACCUGCUAUAAUUUAGCUAUAUUCAGCAUUCAUUACCUCUCUGUAGGUGAAAGUAUUAAAUGCUACUGUUUUGAAUAAGGCUUCUGGUAAUGUGUUAUCCCUGGUUUAUAUUUAAUGUAUCUGUACAUUUAUAUAAAGGCAGAGCCAUGUGUGUAGUUGUACAGUUUGUGCACUGUACAACGGUACCCAUCUGGGUAAGGGGAUUAGUAGCAGCCGAAAUCCAACUUGUGCUCAACUUGUCACCAAUAUGUGCCUCAGUAGGGUUUAUCUCACAACACACCUUUUUCCAGUUUCUGAGUGAAGGGAGCUGAAUUCUGCUGGAACUUUAGCAGUGACCAAAGUACCAUCGAUAAGAUGUAAAACAAAAACUAGUAUUUCCUGCAACUCACCUGAUUUUCCAAACAACAGCUUUCCAAAUAUUAGCUUUCUUAGCCAAGCCUGCUGGAUUUAACAGUUCAAGUCACUGCCAACCAUAUGGCGUUCUUCAACCAGUCCUUCCUUCGUGUGUCUCCAGAUAGAUGCUGGCAAGAGAUGAACCAGGACCUUGGUCUGAAAGAACAUGAUUCGGACCAUGCUUUGUAAAAGGGAUAACAGAAUAGUCAAGGUUAAGUUAAGAUUGCUUCAAUUCCACCUCUAAAGGGUACACAGUUUUCUAAAGCCACCCUGCCACACACCACCCCACCUUCAAGCAUCAUCAUUUAAUUUGGUGUAUUUCUGUUGAACUCACUCUGCGCUCAGUGCUGGCAUGUCUGAGAUGUUUCUCUCUCUCCCUCCUCCCUAUUUGCUUCAGCCCCAGACGAGGAUGCAAAAUGGAUCUACCUGGAUGAGAGAAAAGUCAGGACACACCUCACUUGGUAGGGUGGCCUCAUCCCAAAAUAGGGCUUGAUUCUCAAAGAACAAUGUGGAGAAAGCAUAAAAAGAGAAAGAAAAGGAGUUCUCUUGUGGACCUCAGCAGGUUAGGGAUCCAGCUUUGUCACCUCGGCUGCUCAGGCUGCUGCUGUGGCUCAGAUUCGAUCCUUGGCCUGAGAACUUCCAUGUGCACCAGGUGCAGCCCAAAAAAGAGGGAGAGGAUUCAUUUACUGGACCCUAGUAUAUGAGGACCAUGUAGCACUGUGCCAUCCAUUCAGUACACUUUGGAAAGGUGUGUUAAGUGCUAAGAGUACAGUGGAGACACCUGCCCAUGACACUUCCAAUCUGGUGUCUUACAAGCCCUUGUGCCAGUUACAUUUGGGAUGGGUGUCAUGGAGGAAGGGUGUAGGGAGCUCUGGGGGCGCGCACUAGGGAACAUCCCUGAAGAUGAACAUGAAAAGCUGAAGGGUAAGCAGAAUGAGGAAAGGAAGAAGGCUGGUUAUCGCAGAGAACAAGAGGUGCGUAUCUGGAGAGAUGAACAGGAUUAAGUCACGAACGGCUUUGAAAGCCAUGCUAAGAACUUGACUUUGGAAAGCUCUUGAAAGGGGAAUGGACUAAGGGGAGUCAGUGCGGAUGUGGCAACACCAGGCAGAAGAAUGUAGGAAUCCAAGCAGGAGACAGUGGUGCACAGAGGCACUGGAGAUAGAACAUCAAAUAUAUUUGAGUUCCACGGAAACAAGCAGGUUUGCGGGGGAGUUAUCAUCAAGAAAGUUUGAGAUGUGUUGGGCUGGAAGUCUAUGUGAGAUAGUUAUCCUGGUGGAAGCUUGAGGAUAGUAAAAGAAAAAAAACAAAACAAC